UUCCGGUUGAUCCUGCCGGAGGCUACUGCUAUCGGAAUUCGAUUAAGCCAUGCGAGUCGAGAGGGUUCGGCCCUCGGCUGACGGCUCAGUAACACGUGGAUAACCUGCCCUCAGGUAGGGGAUAAUCUCGGGAAACUGAGGAUAAUACCCUAUAAGCAUCCUUUGCUGGAAUGCUUGGAUGUUCAAAGGCAACGCCUGAGGAUGGGUCUGCGGCCUAUCAGGUAGUAGUGGGUGUAACGGACCCACUAGCCUACGACGGGUACGGGCCUUGAAAGAGGUAGCCCGGAGAUGGACUCUGAGACACGAGUCCAGGCCCUACGGGGCGCAGCAGGCGCGAAAACUUCGCAAUGCGGGAAACCGUGACGAGGGAAUUCCGAGUGCUCAUACAAUGUAUGGGCUUUUCUGAUGUGUAAAAAGCAUUAGGAAUAAGGGCUGGGUAAGACCGGUGCCAGCCGCCGCGGUAAUACCGGCAGCUCUAGUGGUAGCCACUUUUAUUGGGCCUAAAGCGUCCGUAGCCGGUCGGGUAAAUCCUUGGGUAAAUCGUACAGCUUAACUGUGCGGCUUCCGAGGAGACUGCCCGACUUGGGACCGGGAGAGGUUGGAGGUACUCCUGGGGUAGGGGUGAAAUCCUGUAAUCCUAGGUGGACCACCGGUGGCGAAGGCGUCCAAACCAGAACGGCUCCGACGGUGAGGGACGAGGGCUAGGGGCGCAAACCGGAUUAGAUACCCGGGUAGUCCUAGCUGUAAACGCUGCAGACUUGGUGUUGGAGAUCCCACGAGGGUGUCCAGUGCCGGAGAGAAGUUGUUAAGUUUGCCGCCUGGGAAGUAUGGCCGCAAGGCUGAAACUUAAAGGAAUUGGCGGGGGAGCACCGCAACGGGAGGAGCGUGCGGUUUAAUUGGAUUCAACGCCGGG
This 913-nucleotide ribosomal RNA is filed under the name uncultured archaeon. RNAcentral describes it as "bacterial SSU rRNA". It matches the Rfam family "Archaeal small subunit ribosomal RNA", at positions 1 to 922 of the family's 1478-position model. The record is from RNAcentral.